AACUGAUUGCUUAUUGCACCACAUGUGUUUUUCUUUGAAACAAACUUGCUUUGGCGGUGGGCCCAGCCUGCCGCCAGAGGUCUAAACUUACAACCAAUUUUUUAUCAACUUGUCACACCAGAUUAUUACUAAUAGUCAAAACUUUCAACAACGGAUCUCUUGGUUCUCGCAUCGAUGAAGAACGCAGCGAAAUGCGAUACGUAAUAUGAAUUGCAGAUAUUCGUGAAUCAUCGAAUCUUUGAACGCACAUUGCGCCCUCUGGUAUUCCGGAGGGCAUGCCUGUUUGAGCGUCGUUUCUCCCUCAAACCGCUGGGUUUGGUGUUGAGCAAUACGACUUGGGUUUGCUUGAAAGACGGUAGUGGUAAGGCGGGAUCGCUUUGACAAUGGCUUAGGUCUAACCAAAAACAUUGCUUGCGGCGGUAACGUCUACCACGUAUAUCUUCAAACUUUGACCUCAAAUCAGGUAGGACUACCCGCUGAACUUAAGCAUAUCAAAAGCGGAGGAA
Molecule: ribosomal RNA, 506 nt
Filed under: Candida albicans
Lineage: Eukaryota; Fungi; Ascomycota; Pichiomycetes; Serinales; Debaryomycetaceae
Description: eukaryotic LSU rRNA
Rfam family: 5.8S ribosomal RNA (bases 140-293)
Source: RNAcentral